CGAAAGCCUGACGGAGCAACGCCGCGUGAGGGAUGGAGGCCUUUGGGCUGUAAACCUCUUUUCUCAAGGAAGAAGAUCUGACGGUACUUGAGGAAUAAGCCACGGCUAAUUCCGUGCCAGCAGCCGCGGUAAUACGGGAGUGGCAAGCGUUAUCCGGAAUUAUUGGGCGUAAAGCGUCCGCAGGCGGCCGUUUAAGUCUGUUGUUAAAUCGUGGAGCUCAACUCCAUCACGGCAAUGGAAACUGUUCGGCUUGAGUAUGGUAGGGGCAGAGGGAAUUUCCGGUGUAGCGGUGAAAUGCGUAGAUAUCGGGAAGAACACCAGUGGCGAAAGCGCUCUGCUGGGCCAUUACUGACGCUCAUGGACGAAAGCCAGGGGAGCGAAAGGGAUUAGAUACCCCUGUAGUCCUGGCCGUAAACGAUGAACACUAGAUGUUGGGGGAAUCGACCCCCUCGGUGUCGUAGCUAACGCGUUAAGUGUUCCGCCUGGGGAGUACGCACGCAAGUGUAAAACUCAAAGGAAUUGACGGGGGCCCGCACAAGCGGUGGAGUAUGUGGUUUAAUUCGAUGCAACGCGAAGAACCUUACCAAGGCUUGACAUCCUGCGAAUCUCUAAGAAAUUAGAGAGUGCCUUCGGGAACGCAGUGACAGGUGGUGCAUGGCUGUCGUCAGCUCGUGUCGUGAGAUGUUGGGUUAAGUCCCGCAACGAGCGCAACCCACGUUUUUAGUUGCCAGCAUUCAGUUGGGCACUCUAGAAAGACUGCCGGUGACAAACCGGAGGAAGGUGUGGACGACGUCAAGUCAUCAUGCCCCUUACGCCUUGGGCUACACACGUACUACAAUGCUGCGGACAAAGAGUAGCGAUCUUGCGAAAGUUAGCUAAUCUCAUAAACCGUGGCUCAGUUCAGAUCGUAGGCUGCAACUCGCCUACGUGAAGGAGGAAUCGCUAGUAAUCGCAGGUCAGCAUACUGCGGUGAAUACGUUCCCGGGCCUUGUACACACCGCCCGUCACACCAUGGAAGUUGGCCAUGCCCGAAGUCGUUACUCUAACCUUUUGGAAGAGGGCGCCGAAGGCAGGGCUAAUGACUGGGGUGAAGUCGUAACAAGGUAGCCGUAGCGGAAGCUGCGGCUGGAUCACCUCCUAA
Molecule: ribosomal RNA, 1141 nt
Filed under: Candidatus Synechococcus spongiarum
Lineage: Bacteria; Bacillati; Cyanobacteriota; Cyanophyceae; Synechococcales; Synechococcaceae
Description: bacterial SSU rRNA
Rfam family: Bacterial small subunit ribosomal RNA
Source: RNAcentral